CAGGAACAGACAAGAAUCCCCAGGGCAAAAUGGCUAGCGAGACUAUCCAUGUUGGAGAGUUCUGGGUUCAACUGAGAAACCCUGCUAUGUCAUUGAAAAAGAAGGAGAAUAACAGGCACCUCCCCGGGAGACAUGUGCCAACAAGUCCAGAUACAUUGUGCACGUUAGAAGCCAUUGUGUCAUCGAUGGCUGGUGCUGUGAUUAGAAGCAUGUGCCAUCACAUCAGCUCAAUUCUACAGUGCUGAUUUUCCUGUAUUGCUGUCAAUAGACGGUCUUAGUCUGUAUUUUUAUUGUUGUGAAGAGACAUCAUGAUCACAGC
Non-coding RNA from Peromyscus maniculatus bairdii (prairie deer mouse), 319 nucleotides. The record is from RefSeq and is a predicted model, not a curated record. NCBI's taxonomy places the organism in Eukaryota, Metazoa, Chordata, Mammalia, Rodentia, Cricetidae.